This 65-nucleotide transfer RNA is filed under the name Encarsia obtusiclava. Its description in RNAcentral is "tRNA-Ala". The record is from RNAcentral. Lineage: Eukaryota; Metazoa; Arthropoda; Insecta; Hymenoptera; Aphelinidae.
AGGAAUGUAGUUAAUUUAUAAUAUUUAAUUUGCAAUUAAAAGUUAUUUUAUAAAAAUUGUUCUUA